CAAUAGCGUAUAUUAAAGUUGUUGCAGUUAAAAAGCUCGUAGUUGGAUUUGUGGCGUACGGUGUGUUCCGGGCACUUGUUGUCUGAGUAACCUGCUGUUGCCAUCCUUGGGUGGAACCUGUGUGGCAUUAGGUUGUCGUGCAGGGGAUGCCCAUCAUUUACUGUGAAAAAAUUAGAGUGUUCAAAGCAGGCUUAUGCCGUUGAAUAUAUUAGCAUGGAAUAAUGAGAUAGGACUUUUUUGCUAUUUUGUUGGUUUGCGCAAAGAGGUAAUGAUUAAUAGGGACAGUUGGGGGUAUUCGUAUUCCAUUGUCAGAGGUGAAAUUCUUGGAUUUUUGGAAGACGAUCUACUGCGAAAGCAUUUACCAAGGAUGUUUUCAUUAA
RNAcentral lists this ribosomal RNA (380 nucleotides) under uncultured eukaryote. RNAcentral describes it as "partial 18S ribosomal RNA". It matches the Rfam family "Eukaryotic small subunit ribosomal RNA", at positions 592 to 976 of the family's 1831-position model. The record is from RNAcentral.